Long non-coding RNA from Eptesicus fuscus (big brown bat), 469 nucleotides. RefSeq lists it as uncharacterized. The record is from RefSeq and is a predicted model, not a curated record. The transcript has 3 exons. Lineage: Eukaryota; Metazoa; Chordata; Mammalia; Chiroptera; Vespertilionidae.
CUUAGGCAAGAAUGGAAUUCCCUCGUGGAGGGCCUAUUCUCCCAGCCACUGGGCGAGGCAGGAAAUCAGAGAAAUUGAAGACACCAGCCUGGGAAUUAGAAAAUCAGGCAAAGCUGAGUUGGAUACGUAGCCCUUAGAAAGCUACUUAACGGGGAAUGGGAACACUACUUAUCGCAAGGGGCUAAGCAAGACUGGAUAGCCUGGUCCAUCCAUUGUGGCAAAAGGCAGCAACAGCUCCCAGGCCUGGCUUCCAUUGAUAAACCCUCCCCAACCGUUCAGCCCAUAGUCAGUAUCUGGGCAGCUGGAAGGUGCGCUCGGAAGGCAGCAGAAUGGCGUGAACAGAGCACUGGCCCAGGGUCUGUCACUCACCGGUGAACCAUGAAAAAUCCUUCCCUGUGGCUGCGCAAAAUAAAGUGCUUAAUCAGACAGAAUCUAGAAAUCUGUUUAGAUUUUUGAAUUAUAUCCGUGG